GCCAGCAGGUCAAAGGAGGUGAUUCUCCCCCUCUAUUCUGCUCUCAUAAGACUUCACCUGGAGUGCUGCAUUCAGCUCUGGGGCCCUCAACAUACGAAGGACAUGGACCUAUUAGCACAAGUCCAGAGAAGGGCAACGAAGCUGGUGAGGG
Molecule: long non-coding RNA, 151 nt
Organism: Cygnus olor (mute swan)
Lineage: Eukaryota; Metazoa; Chordata; Aves; Anseriformes; Anatidae
Exons: 3
Source: RefSeq, a predicted model, not a curated record